CCCCACUCCUCCCCCGAUCCACCAACCCACCGCCGCGCCCCCAGGCCGGCGACCUCCCACCGCCACGCCACCUCCCUUCCCUGCACCGCCGCACCACUUCCACCCUCUUGUGCCGCCGCACCACCUCAAACCACCUACCCUCCCCGCCCCACCUUCCCCCACGCAGGCAAGCCACCGGAUCCGCCCAUUGCAGUCCUCCCACGCGUGGUCGGCAUCGGAUCUGCGCGUCGCCAUCCCUGCGAACCACUUGGACGAGGGCAGCUAGAUCUGCCCUGCCAUUAUCCACCAGCGGCUGCUCGACGACGGAUCCACGCCAAGACCUCCUGGGGGCGUCCUCUCCGUCCCCAUAUCGAGGGUGACUUGGCUUCAUAGAUUGGAUGGUCGGACGUUGAGCUCGGGGGUCGCCGGUGACUCUCCCCUCCCAGUUCCUCCACCUCCCGCCUACCACCAUCGAGCGCAUCCAGAGGGGCGUGGGGGUGUCCGACACCCCGCGCGAGGUCCACAAUGCAUCAAUCCUGGCGGCUCGCGUCCAAGGUCUCGGGCGCUAUGGCCUGUUUAGUUCGCAGGUCCUGCUACAAACGUUCGCUACCCCAACAGUGGCAGUUGGCCGUGACGCCUGCUGCAGUCCAUACCCAGUGUGGUGGUUCGUUCCUCGGCGGCGACCUCCUGCCCUCCUCCCUAUCUUGCUUGGGAUCCCACACGAUGAAGGUCAAACAGCAGCGACGAACCCGUUCAGUUCAGAAAGAAACUAGGUUGGCCUUGUAGUUCACUGGCAAGAAUCUGCCUCUCCUCCUGCGUAGAUGCAUUUUUGCUAGAAGGGCUCUGUAGACCAGCGGUUCAGCUCGUGAAUGCUUUCAGUUUGUCGACACCCACAUGGACGCGCGGCUCGCUGGAACACGUAGUCCGCCCCCAGCGGCGUGUAGUACAACACUCUCGUUGGUGCAGCCCGCUGGCUGCACCUAUGCGCGACGACGAUGAAGAGCGUGGCGUACAACUCGUGCGGCUCGUCUUGCAGCUGGCUUGCCGCGGCAUGCAGUCCGCUUGGUAUGUUGGAGAGGUUCAUUUUUCAUGAAAAAAGGGUGAUGCACCACUUUGAGGAGUACUAUGGUCCACUUCAGUCAAAUGUAUUUAUUUUUUGUAAAAAAUAGAUGCAGUCCGUUUGGGAACUGCUUGCGGUUUGCAUGGCUGGUGUGUGAAGUGCACGAUGUGCUUGUGUGUUUCAAAACUCGGUCGAUUAUGUGAAGUGCACGAUGUGCUUGUGUGUUUCAAAA
Molecule: long non-coding RNA, 1271 nt
Organism: Triticum urartu
Lineage: Eukaryota; Viridiplantae; Streptophyta; Magnoliopsida; Poales; Poaceae
Source: RefSeq, a predicted model, not a curated record